CAUAUAAACUAAAAUCAGAAUGACAAACUAAAAUCAGAAUGACAGAGGAGCUUAGCAUGGCCCCUGAACCAGGAUGACAUAAAGGUUCUUGAAACAGUUCUUAUCUUC
Dipodomys spectabilis (banner-tailed kangaroo rat) is the source of this 108-nucleotide small nuclear RNA. The record is from RefSeq and is a predicted model, not a curated record. Lineage: Eukaryota; Metazoa; Chordata; Mammalia; Rodentia; Heteromyidae.